RNAcentral lists this ribosomal RNA (514 nucleotides) under uncultured marine eukaryote. RNAcentral's name for it is "bacterial SSU rRNA". It matches the Rfam family "Eukaryotic small subunit ribosomal RNA", at positions 618 to 1130 of the family's 1831-position model. The record is from RNAcentral.
GUUAAAAAGCUCGUAGUUGGAUUUCUUUUCUUUGUCGUUGGAAAGCUACUUCACGUAGUUUCUCUAGCAACAGGGGAAAACAUUUGUCGCAAACCGGUCGAGUGCUGUAAUGGUUCUCGGUCGUUAAGUGACUCGUUUACUUUGAGAAAAUUAGAGUGUUCAAAGCAGGCAUUCCGCCUUGAAUAUGUUAGCAUGGAAUAAUAACAUAGGACUGAUAGUUCUAUUUGUUGGUUGUUCGAGAACUGGAGUAAUGAUUGAUAGGGACGGUUGGGGGCAUCUGUAUUCUCAAGCGAGAGGUGAAAUUCUUGGACCUUGGGAAGACAAACAGCUGCGAAAGCGUUUGCCUAGGACGUUCUCUUUAAUCAAGAACGAAAGUUGGGGGAUCGAAGACGAUCAGAUACCGUCGUAGUCUCAACUAUAAACUAUGCCAGCUAGGGAUCAGCGGGUCUUUCUUACGAGUCCGUUGGCACCUUACGAGAAAUCAAAGCAUUUGGGUUCCGGGGGGAGUAUGGUC